Long non-coding RNA from Podarcis raffonei (Aeolian wall lizard), 476 nucleotides. RefSeq lists it as uncharacterized. NCBI's taxonomy places the organism in Eukaryota, Metazoa, Chordata, Lepidosauria, Squamata, Lacertidae. The record is from RefSeq and is a predicted model, not a curated record. The transcript has 2 exons.
CAUUAUUACCUUUGACCACGGAGGCAGAGAGCAUAGCCAUCACAGCUAGCAGCCAACCACUCCUCUCAGAUGAUUUGAAUCAUAGAAUUGAAGAGUUGGAAGUGAUCUUGAGCGUCAUUUGUUCCAACCCCCUGCAAUGGUGUUUCAAGAAGUUCCAACAGCACAGACGAGAAGCGGCAGGAUCCCCCAGUACUUUUGUUGUCCACCUGCAACAAGCAAUAAGAGGCUCUUGGAAUGCACUGCAACAACAGCCACCAAAGGGACCUCCCCUAUGUGACUAAGAGAAGCAGAACAAAUACUUGUAUUUACACAAAUUGAAUGAGCCAUCAAAACUAUUGCACACCUCAAUUUUCAAAACCUUGAAACCCAAAAAGUAUUUGCUGGCAAAUGUAAAUGCACCAUCAAAUCUAAUGUGCACCCUAAUUUUCGUGACGUAAUUUGGCAAAAAAGAGAUGUGCAUUAAAAAGUUAAAGGAC